UCUAAGAACCAGUCAUGUUUGAUUCAGAUUAGGGCUCGGCGAUAUAUGAAAAAAUCUUGAUAUUGGCAAUUUUUUUAUGAUAUUCAAUAUAUAUCUUUAUAUAUAUAUAUAUAUAUAUAUAUAUAUAUAUAUAUAUAUAUAAUAUAAAUUUAAUUCCUAUAAGUAAUUCCACAUUGCCAUGUUUUUACACAUUAUAAAAAUAAGCUGUCCAUAAAUGUUACUUAAUUGUGAGUUAAAUUUCUCUAAUUUUGUGUUUUGUCUUCAGGAACAUUAUCAGUCAUUCAAGCUAUGAUAUCCUGGCAGAUCUACUUCCUGAAAAGAAGACUCAGCAGAUCUUUUCAAGACACACUAGAUGGAGCGCGAAGAGACCGGACAGUUCCCACAGUGCUAGUUUUUCAGCACCCACAACCCACACACAAAUUCAUAUAGAAGUUUUCAAUAAUAAAAAGUUCAUAUGAUAGUUUACAUUUAGCUAUGAAGCUAUAGUUUAUUGUCAUAAAUAUUAAACAAAAUAUUAAAGUCCUUUUAUAGUGAAAAUCAAGUUUUUAUGCUGUUUUUUUUGUCUUUGUGGCAUUAAAUAUUGCUACAUCACAAUCCAAUAACCAAUCACAUCUAAGAAUAAUUUCCUAUAGCAUGCCAAUACCAGCGCACAAGCACAAAGCUAAAGACAAAUUAUAGCAAAAAAAUUUGAUUAAAUAUUUGACUACAGGGGACUUACAUUUUUUUUUACAUGAUAUGAAAUUUCCAUUAGUCUGUUCAAUGUGUAAAUGAGAUUUUUGAAAGUGAUUAUCUUUAAUAAUUCAGAUACCUGUUGAAAUGCACAUGUAAUUAAAUGCUUGCUCGGAUCUGGAAUGUUGUGUUAAUAAGCAUUAUGUUAAAGGAGAAUGUUGCAACAGUGCUAACCUGAAAUUAAAAUUUUAUUAAGCUACACUUUGUAAUGUUCAAAUUAAAGUUUAUACAAUGUUUUAUUCUUAAUAAAAUUUAAGUGGAAGAACAUUGUAGGCACAUUAUACUGACCAUAAAAUAAAGUUCCAACAUUUUAACUUU
Long non-coding RNA from Carassius carassius (crucian carp), 1047 nucleotides. RefSeq lists it as uncharacterized. The record is from RefSeq and is a predicted model, not a curated record. The transcript has 2 exons. Lineage: Eukaryota; Metazoa; Chordata; Actinopteri; Cypriniformes; Cyprinidae.